This 460-nucleotide ribosomal RNA is filed under the name uncultured bacterium. Its description in RNAcentral is "partial 16S ribosomal RNA". It matches the Rfam family "Bacterial small subunit ribosomal RNA", at positions 338 to 795 of the family's 1533-position model. The record is from RNAcentral.
CCUACGGGGGGCAGCAGUGAGGAAUAUUGGUCAAUGGGCGGAAGCCUGAACCAGCCAAGUCGCGUGAGGGAUUAAGGCCCUAUGGGUCGUAAACCUCUUUUGUCAGGGAGCAAUGGCGUCCACGUGUGGGCGUAUGGAGAGUACCUGAAGAAAAAGCAUAGGAUAACCCCGUGCCAGCAGCCGCGGUAAUACGGGGGAUGCGAGGGUUAUCGGGAUUUAUUGGGUUUAAAGGGUGCGUAGGCGGGACCUCAAGUCAGCGGUAAAAUUUCGGGGCUCAACCCCGUCGUGCCGUUGAAACUGGCGUUCUUGAGUGAGCGAGAAGUAUGCGGAAUGCGUGGUGUAGCGGUGAAAUGCAUAGAUAUCACGCAGAACUCCGAUUGCGAAGGCAGCAUACCGGCGCUCAACUGACGCUCAUGCACGAAAGCGUGGGUAUCGAACAGGAUUAGAUACCCCUGUAGUC